This 253-nucleotide ribosomal RNA is filed under the name uncultured bacterium. RNAcentral's name for it is "partial 16S ribosomal RNA". It matches the Rfam family "Bacterial small subunit ribosomal RNA", at positions 524 to 776 of the family's 1533-position model. The record is from RNAcentral.
UACGAAGGGUGCGAGCGUUAAUCGGAAUUACUGGGCGUAAAGCGUGCGCAGGCGGCUUUGCAAGACAGAUGUGAAAUCCCCGGGCUCAACCUGGGAAUUGCGCUUGUGACUGCAAAGCUGGAGUGCGGCAGAGGGGGAUGGAAUUCCGCGUGUAGCAGUGAAAUGCGUAGAUAUGCGGAGGAACACCGAUGGCGAAGGCAAUCCCCUGGGCCUGUACUGACGCUCAUGCACGAAAGCGUGGGGAGCAAACAGG